AAAGUCGUAACAAGGUUUCCGUAGGUGAACCUGCGGAAGGAUCAUUACUGAAUAUGGAAUAUCUUAUUCUUAAACCCACACUGAGUACUUGUACUUGUUGCUUCCGUGGGCAGCGAAUGUUGUGUUUGCGCCUGCUGAUGAAGUGGACCCACGGGAGACACCAAUAAACUCUGCCUUUUUGUGAUAUAUAGUCUGACUCUGUUUAUUCUUUAAACGUUAAAACUUUCAACAACGGAUCUCUUGGUUCUC
RNAcentral lists this unclassified non-coding RNA (249 nucleotides) under Ascomycota sp. RNAcentral's name for it is "partial contains small subunit ribosomal RNA, internal transcribed spacer 1, and 5.8S ribosomal RNA". The stretch from base 1 to 47 matches the Rfam family "Eukaryotic small subunit ribosomal RNA", at positions 1785 to 1831 of the family's 1831-position model. Lineage: Eukaryota; Fungi; Ascomycota. The record is from RNAcentral.